This 778-nucleotide ribosomal RNA is filed under the name uncultured Neocallimastigales. RNAcentral describes it as "partial large subunit ribosomal RNA". It matches the Rfam family "Eukaryotic large subunit ribosomal RNA", at positions 24 to 649 of the family's 3401-position model. The record is from RNAcentral. Lineage: Eukaryota; Fungi; Neocallimastigomycota; Neocallimastigomycetes; Neocallimastigales.
UAUGUGAUCGUCUCUCGCAUAUCAAUAAGCGGAGGAAAAGAAACUAACAAGGAUUCCCCUAGUAACGGCGAGUGAAGCGGGAAGAGCUCAAAUUUGAAAUCUUAAAGGGUUUCCCUUUACGAAUUGUAGUUUAAAGAAGUGUUUUUCUGUUGAGGUUUUGGUAAAAGUUCUUUGGAAUAGGACAUCAUAGAGGGUGGGAAUCCCGUAUUUGACCUUUACUUUCAACUUUGUGAUACACUUUCAAAGAGUCGGAUUGUUUGGGAAUGCAGUCCAAAAUGGGUGGUAAAUUUCAUCUAAAGCUAAAUAUUGGCGAGAGACCGAUAGCGAACAAGUACCGUGAGGGAAAGAUGAAAAGAACUUUGAAAAGAGAGUUAAACAGUACGUGAAAUUGUCAAAAGGGAAGCGUUUGACACCAGUGUUGUUUUUUCUGAAAAUCAAUUAAAGAACUGUUUAUGCUAAGCUGUUUAGACUUUAUCAGCUAAUCUGUUUAGUUUUGAGCUUUUCUUUAAUGCACUUUUCAGUUAACAAGUCAACAUCAAUUUCUUUUGCUGUAAAAAAGCUUGAGGAAGGUGGCUUGAGAUUCGUCUUAAGUGUUUAUAGCCUCUUGCCUAUGCAGUCGGAGAGAUUGAGGUCUGCAGCGUAGAUCCUUCGGGGCUAAAUGCAUUUGUGCUAAGUUAUAGCAUUUUAUAGACAACUUGUUGGACUAUGAUUUGUCUUGUAGCUUACUCGCUUAUGUUAUUUUACCUACGCUUAGGAUGUUGAGUAGCGACAUACGCAC